GACGAACGCUGGCGGCGUGCCUAACACAUGCAAGUCGAACGGAUAGAUACGAGAGCUUGCCCUUGUAAAUCUUAGUGGCACACGGGUGAGUAACGCGUAAACAACCUGCCCAACGGAUGGGGACAACAGACGGAAACGACUGCUAAUACCCAAUAGACUCCGGUCUCUCAUGAAACCGAUAGGAUAGGUGGCCUCUCGAAGAAGCUACCGCCGCAGGAGGGGUUUGCGUUUGAUUAGUUAGUUGGUGGGGUAACGGCCUACCAAGACGAGGAUCAAUAGCCGGUCUGAGAGGAUGAACGGCAACACUGGAACUGAGACACGGUCCAGACUCCUACGGGAGGCAGCAGUGAGGAAUCUUCCGAAAUGGAAGAAAGUCUGAAGGAGCAACACCGCGUGAGUGAAGAAGGCAUUCAGGUUGUAAAGCUCUGUUAUUCGGGAAGAACGAGUCGUAUGUAAAUAAGGAACGGAAGUGACGGUACCGAAAGAGAAAGCCACGGCUAACUACGUG
Molecule: ribosomal RNA, 508 nt
Filed under: uncultured bacterium
Lineage: Bacteria
Description: partial 16S ribosomal RNA
Rfam family: Bacterial small subunit ribosomal RNA
Source: RNAcentral